GCGCAGAUGGCGAAGCGGCUUAACGCAGCUGGCUCGCAAGCCGGCCAUUCGGAGGUUCGAAUCCUUCUCUGCGCUCCA
Molecule: transfer RNA, 78 nt
Filed under: Paenibacillus sp. UNC496MF
Lineage: Bacteria; Bacillati; Bacillota; Bacilli; Caryophanales; Paenibacillaceae
Description: tRNA_Ala_CGC
Rfam family: tRNA
About the family: Transfer RNA (tRNA) molecules are approximately 80 nucleotides in length.
Source: RNAcentral